CGACUGAACAACAUUUUAAACAGCUUCUAUGGUGUCCAGGUAGAAGGAUCCUUCAACUUGUUUAGAUAAUUGCUGUAGUGGACGCCUUCAAAACUUGUAGCUAAAUUCUGUAACAUGUAGCUAAAGAAAAGGAAAGAAAAUGAAAUACAGCCUACAAUAGUGGUAUGAAAGAAGGUUCAUCUGGCUACAACAUAUAGUUUUAUCAUGGUC
This 210-nucleotide long non-coding RNA is filed under the name Setaria viridis. Its description in RNAcentral is "long non-coding RNA (SVIR_LNC000245)". Lineage: Eukaryota; Viridiplantae; Streptophyta; Magnoliopsida; Poales; Poaceae. The record is from RNAcentral.